UUAACACAUGCAAGUCGAACGGAGAAUUUCACCAAAACUUCGGUUUUACCGAAAUUCUUAGUGGCGGACGGGUGAGUAACACGUGAGUAACCUGCCCUUGGGUGCGGAAUAAUUCUUGGAAACGGGUUGUAAUACCGCAUAAUAUAUUUCAUUCGCAUGUUUGAAAUAUCAAAGAUUUAUCGCCGAAGGAUGGACUCGCGUCUGAUUAGAUAGUUGGUGAGGUAACGGCUCACCAAGUCGACGACCAGUAGCCGGACUGAGAGGUUGAACGGCCACAUUGGGACUGAGACACGGCCCAGACUCCUACGGGAGGCAGCAGUGGGGAAUAUUGCACAAUGGGGGAAACCCUGAUGCAGCGAUGCCGCGUGGAGGAAUGAAGGUUUUCGGAUUGUAAACUCCUGUCGUUAGGGACGAUAAUGACGGUACCUAACAAGAAAGCUCCGGCUAACUACGUGCCAGCAGCCGCGGUAAUACGUAGGGAGCGAGCGUUGUCCGGAAUUACUGGGUGUAAAGGGAGCGUAGGCGGGAUAGCAAGUCAGGUGUGAAAUGCAUGGGCUCAACCCAUGAACUGCACUUGAAACUGUUGUUCUUGAGUGAGGUAGAGGUAAGCGGAAUUCCCGGCGUAGCGGUGAAAUGCGUAGAGAUCGGGAGGAACAUCGGUGGCGAAGGCGGCUUACUGGGCCUUUACUGACGCUGAGGCUCGAAAGCGUGGGGAGCAAACAGGAUUAGAUACCCUGGCAGUCCACGCCGUAAACGAUGAUUACUAGGUGUGGGGGGACUGACCCCUUUCCGUGCCGCAGUUAA
Molecule: ribosomal RNA, 804 nt
Filed under: uncultured bacterium
Lineage: Bacteria
Description: bacterial SSU rRNA
Rfam family: Bacterial small subunit ribosomal RNA
Source: RNAcentral